ACUCUUCCUCCCUUGCAAAAAGCCUCUAACAAGCAAUUAUAAGCAAGCACAUCCACCGCACAUUGUUGGUCACGCAUUUCGUCAAACACUUUACAUGCUGACUCUGAUUCGCCAAUAUCACCCCAUCCCCUGACCAAAAUGCUAUAAGUUUUCAGUUUAGGCUCAUAUUGACGCUUAACUCUAUCAAAAAAUUGCUGGGCAACCUUCACAUGCUUCCUUUUGCAUAACACAUACAACAACUGAUCAAGAUCAUCA
This 255-nucleotide unclassified non-coding RNA is filed under the name Hevea brasiliensis (rubber tree). Lineage: Eukaryota; Viridiplantae; Streptophyta; Magnoliopsida; Malpighiales; Euphorbiaceae. The record is from RNAcentral.